CUACGGGGGGCUGCAGUGGGGAAUCUUAGACAAUGGGGGAAACCCUGAUCUAGCGAUGCCGCGUGAGUGAUGAAGGCCUUAGGGUCGUAAAGCUCUUUCGCCAGGGAAGAUAAUGACUGUACCUGGUAAAGAAACCCCGGCUAACUCCGUGCCAGCAGCCGCGGUAAUACGGAGGGGGUUAGCGUUGUUCGGAAUUACUGGGCGUAAAGCGCACGUAGGCGGAUCAGAAAGUUAGAGGUGAAAUCCCAGGGCUCAACCCUGGAACUGCCUUUAAAACUCCUGGUCUUGAGUUCGAGAGAGGUGAGUGGAAUUCCAAGUGUAGAGGUGAAAUUCGUAGAUAUUUGGAGGAACACCAGUGGCGAAGGCGGCUCACUGGCUCGAUACUGACGCUGAGGUGCGAAAGCGUGGGGAGCAAACAGGAUUAGAUACCCGUGUAGUC
RNAcentral lists this ribosomal RNA (439 nucleotides) under uncultured bacterium. RNAcentral's name for it is "partial 16S ribosomal RNA". It matches the Rfam family "Bacterial small subunit ribosomal RNA", at positions 339 to 795 of the family's 1533-position model. The record is from RNAcentral.